RNAcentral lists this ribosomal RNA (301 nucleotides) under uncultured bacterium. Its description in RNAcentral is "partial 16S ribosomal RNA". It matches the Rfam family "Bacterial small subunit ribosomal RNA", at positions 509 to 807 of the family's 1533-position model. The record is from RNAcentral.
CAGCAGCCACGGUAAAACGGAGGGUGCAAGCGUUACUCGGAAUCACUGGGCGUAAAGGACGCGUAGGCGGAUUAUCAAGUCUCUUGUGAAAUCUAACGGCUUAACCGUUAAACUGCUUGGGAAACUGAUAAUCUAGAGUAAGGGAGAGGCAGAUGGAAUUCUUGGUGUAGGGGUAAAAUCCGUAGAUAUCAAGAAGAAUACCUAUUGCGAAGGCGAUCUGCUGGAACUUAACUGACGCUAAUGCGUGAAAGCGUGGGGAGCAAACAGGAUUAGAUACCCGCGUAGUCCCUGUCUCUUAUAC